RNAcentral lists this ribosomal RNA (253 nucleotides) under uncultured bacterium. Its description in RNAcentral is "partial 16S ribosomal RNA". It matches the Rfam family "Bacterial small subunit ribosomal RNA", at positions 524 to 776 of the family's 1533-position model. The record is from RNAcentral.
GACGAAGGAUGCAAGCGUUAUCCGGAUUCAUUGGGUUUAAAGGGUGCGUAGGCGGGCCUGUAAGUCAGUGGUGAAAUCUUCCCGCUUAACGGGAAAACUGCCAUUGAUACUAUAGGUCUUGAAUUCAGUUGAGGUGGGCGGAAUGUGUCGUGUAGCGGUGAAAUGCUUAGAUAUGACACAGAACACCGAUUGCGAAGGCAGCUCGCUAAACUGACAUUGACGCUGAGGCACGAAAGCGUGGGGAGCAAACAGG